Long non-coding RNA from Perognathus longimembris pacificus (Pacific pocket mouse), 2853 nucleotides. RefSeq lists it as uncharacterized. The transcript is spliced from 3 exons. NCBI's taxonomy places the organism in Eukaryota, Metazoa, Chordata, Mammalia, Rodentia, Heteromyidae. The record is from RefSeq and is a predicted model, not a curated record.
AUCGAGGGCUGAAACACCUGGUGCUACAGUGUACUGUGUGGCUUAGCCAGGAUGCUCAGUGCAUGAAGUUCAGUCAAUGCAUUUUGGACUUAUGGUGUUUCUGAACCUACCAUUCAUUGGUUAUUAUUGGGACAGAACCUCAUUGUUAGUAGAGGACCAUCUGUGUAAGACGCCUAAGAAAGAGCUUGUCCAAAUUCUGUGGCCCUAAUCCCUCUCCACUGUGUUGCCCAUUCCCAAAGUUUGGAUUGAGGUGUGGAUCGUUCCCUGCACCCAGUCAUGGGUUCUGCAUAUCAGGGCAGAUGUAACAUAGCCAAAGGGAGGGAGAGCACUGGUCACCAGGGCUGAGCUUCUGCCUGACUAGCAAUUAUAAGUAGAAAUACCAGGCAGACUCUUUCUUUUUCCAGUUGCUACAGCUGUUGGUUUUCUUGCCCUGUCCAGAUUAGGUCUUUUUUAAUACUGUUUAAGUAUACUGACCCCACACAUUAACCAUAGACCCUGGAGUUCUCUGGAGGUGAUAGUGUAUGUAUAGUCUAAUAUUCUUUCUCCCUGGUGUAGUAGUUUUGUGAAGUGUUAUGUACAGGUUGGCCUUAAAGUGUGACCCCCUCACACACAAACUGUGUCCCCCAAGUAGCUAGGAUUACACGUUUAGGCUACAAUGCCUGGCUGACCUAGCUUCUAUACAAAACUUGUAUCAUUUGUUAAAUGAUAAAAUGCCUAAUACAACAGUUUUUAUAGAGCUAGAAAAUAAAUUUCUAAGAAAGAUUUUACAAUUUCAACCUCUAGUUAGGGUUAACUCACUCUUUAAAAAGCAGGACAUCUAACCAGGUGCUGGUGGCUCAUGCCUGUUAUCACAACUCGAAGUGGUAGGGUGUUAGCCUUGAGCAAAAAAGCUCAGGGACAGUGCCCAGGCCUGGAGUUCAAGCCCUACAGCCGACAUAAACAACAACAACAAUAAAAAGCAGGACACCUGAGAAUGCAGGAGGUGUGAAAGCCAUUCAGUCUGUGAAGCAUACAAAUAAUUCCUUGAAACACCAAAAAUAAUCCAGGAGUGUCAGAAACAGGCUACAACCAAAUGAAUGAAAAAUUCCAAAAUAAAGACAUCAAGAGUACACAAACUUACAAAGCAUUUUGGGAAUCAAUAGGGAGAAAAUAUAAGCUGUGGUUUCUUCAAUUAAAAUGAUCCACUUUAACAGCUAAAUUUUCAGAGAACUAAUCUAAAAAUAUUAAGUACAGAAAACAAUAGAGACUUAAGGAGAAAAAUACUAUUUUCAGACAAAAUGAAAGUGCUUGGCAUGGUUUCUCAAGCUUGUAAUUCUAGCUAGCUGGGAGGAAGAAACUGAGGGGUUGAGGUUUAAGGCUAGCCAAGAUUUUUUAAUAAACUUUCACAAGUGACACCGGAAGCACAAGCAAGAAAAUGGCCUGAACUCGGAAUCUACCUCAAAAAUUACCAAUGCAAAAAGAGCCUGGAGGUGUGGCUUAUGUGGCGGUAGAGCUCCUGCCUAGCAAGUGUGAGGUCUGAACUCAAUCCCCAGUAUUGCCCUGCUGUCAAAAGUAGGAAAUACAAAUUAAUGAGACUGCAUUACGUUAAAUCAACUCUGUAUAGUUAAUUAUAACUUCUUAAAUCUACUUAAGCCAAAAGAUAUACAAUAAUGUUUUAACAUGUCAAGUGUAAUGUGCUGCCUUCUAUACAGAGGUCUUACCCAGACUCACAACAGAAUCACUGGGUAGGUGGGUGGGGUUGGAAAAGUGCUCCUUGGGCUGCUUAACACCUGAGCUUUGUGGCCCCUUGCCCACGUGACUCCAAGGACCCCCAUCCAGAGGCAUUGUGUUUGGUACCUAUCACUGAUAGAACAUAGUGAGUACUGAAACAGGAUAGAUUACAGCAACAUAGAUCUUCUUCAAAUCAGAAGGAUUAUUAAAACUCCAAAUAAUAAUUACAGGUAAGUAACAGAAUGAAGUAAGUAGGGAGAUGGACAGCUCAGGACCUUCAUGAGUUGAGGCCAGAGCUGGUCAAAAGCAACAAGAUCAACUUCUUUCCUCAUCAGAAACAAGCUCAAGUUCAUACAGAUAGCACCAAACGUGGGAAUAGUUUAAUAGCUAGCUUAAAUCAGUUACAUUUGCAAUUUUUCAUCAUUAAUGUCAUUCAGGGAAGCAAAGAUGUCCAUCUGCUCCUUUAGGAUGAACUACCCAUUCAUUAAUAAAUCUUUCCAAUUUAUUAUUAUUAUUAUUAUUAUUACUUAUCAAAAAGCAAGGGGAUAAAUCCCUGCAACCAAUGAUCUUGUGGUAUCUCAUAGUAACACAGCCAUGGGUGGUCAGCCUCAGCCACCUACUGGUGGCACUUGACAUUUCAAUGUCUACUUUGUAAGAUGAAAACCCAAGGUCUGCUGAGCUUCCUUGGUGGCCCAAGCAGGAGAUACUGUGCCAGGCUCAGAUCACAUUAAGGCCCCAAAGCCUACAAACACACUCUUAUCACAGUUUGUUUUCUUUUGGUUAGAACUUAUUUAACUCCUGGGUAAGUGAGCUUGAUGAGGAAAGGGUUAGCACUGACCAGCACUGAUCACAGCUUUCAGGAUACAGGUCUGAGCUUUCUAUCUCCCCAUUUCAAUCCAUUACCUCUUGUUCUUAAGCUUAUUAUAUCUUAAGGGCUCCAAGGGCUCCAAAACAGAGUCCUCUUGUUACACUGACCAUCGAUCUAGGUGGAUGGGCUUUCCAGGCACCAGACUCCUAAGUCUGGUGUCCUGGGCAGUCAUGACUUGUUUCAUCUCCUGAAUGGGGAAGUGUGGGAAGAAACAACCUCUAUCCAUCAGGCCUAAGACAGCACCCUCUAAGUCUUACACUCCUAUCUCCCUAUCU